This is a long non-coding RNA of Leopardus geoffroyi (Geoffroy's cat), 417 nucleotides long. RefSeq lists it as uncharacterized. Lineage: Eukaryota; Metazoa; Chordata; Mammalia; Carnivora; Felidae. The record is from RefSeq and is a predicted model, not a curated record. The transcript is spliced from 3 exons.
UAAAGAAUAUAGUGGGGGCAACGGACAAAAUGGUGACCAGAUGGGGAAUUUCAACAGAGAACUGGAAUCUGUAAAAGCCAAAGGAACAUUCCAGAAUGGACACAUGUAACAUCUGAAAUAAAGAAUUCCGAUGGGCUGAGCGGCAGAGUUGGACACAGCAGAGGCAAGAGGUCCACUGUCCAUUCCUCUCUGAAUCAGGAAGUUGGAUUUGCCAAUGGCCUGCAUCAGUGGCAGAUCAACGUGGAGGGAUAGAGAGCAGUUUCCAUAACCACCCCUUCCCUUUGCCCUUCCAGUGAUUCUCUGCAUCACCAGCUGUCCUAUAAGUCAACUCAAUUCUGACGCUCUCUGCCUGGAGAUGACAUCGGAUCCCACAGGGUUAAGGUGAAGUCCUACAAGACUGUCCCACUCUUCAGAUGC